CUAAUCGGGGUUGCGGACAGUGUCUGGUGGGUAGUUUGACUGGGGCGGUCUCCUCCUAAAGAGUAACGGAGGAGCACGAAGGUUGGCUAAUCCUGGUCGGACAUCAGGAGGUUAGUGCAAUGGCAUAAGCCAGCUUGACUGCGAGCGUGACGGCGCGAGCAGGUGCGAAAGCAGGUCAUAGUGAUCCGGUGGUUCUGAAUGGAAGGGCCAUCGCUCAACGGAUAAAAGGUACUCCGGGGAUAACAGGCUGAUACCGCCCAAGAGUUCAUAUCGACGGCGGUGUUUGGCACCUCGAUGUCGGCUCAUCACAUCCUGGGGCUGAAGUAGGUCCCAAGGGUAUGGCUGUUCGCCAUUUAAAGUGGUACGCGAGCUGGGUUUAGAACGUCGUGAGACAGUUCGGUCCCUAUCUGCCGUGGGCGCUGGAGAACUGAGGGGGGCUGCUCCUAGUACGAGAGGACCGGAGUGGACGCAUCACUGGUGUUCGGGUUGUCAUGCCAAUGGCACUGCCCGGUAGCUAAAUGCGGAAGAGAUAAGUGCUGAAAGCAUCUAAGCACGAAACUUGCCCCGAGAUGAGUUCUCCCUGACUCCCUGAGAGUCCUGAAGGAACGUUGAAGACGACGACGUUGAUAGGCCGGGUGUGUAAGCGCAGCGAUGCGUUGAGCUAACCGGUACUAAUGAACCGUGAG
Molecule: ribosomal RNA, 686 nt
Filed under: Escherichia coli
Lineage: Bacteria; Pseudomonadati; Pseudomonadota; Gammaproteobacteria; Enterobacterales; Enterobacteriaceae
Description: partial 23S ribosomal RNA
Rfam family: Bacterial large subunit ribosomal RNA
Source: RNAcentral